Non-coding RNA from Delphinapterus leucas (beluga whale), 378 nucleotides. Lineage: Eukaryota; Metazoa; Chordata; Mammalia; Artiodactyla; Monodontidae. The record is from RefSeq and is a predicted model, not a curated record.
AUGGCAGACCAGAGGGCUUUUGCCUGGGUCAAGGGCAUGGCCCGCCUAGUUGAGAGCAGGGCUCUGAGGAGCCUGGCUAAGGUUGACCACUAUGCCAUCAUCAAGUUCCCCCUCACCACUGAGUCAGCCGUGAAGAAAAUAGAAGACAACAACACAGUGGUGUUCAUUGUGGAUGUCAAGGCCAACAAGCACCAAAUUAAACAGGCUGUGAAGAAGCCCUAUGAUAUUGACCUGGCUAAGGUCAACACCCUGAUCAGGCCUGAUGGAGAGAAGAAGGAAUAUGUUCGACUGGCUCCUGACUAUGACGCUUUGGAUGUUGCCAACAAAAUUGGGAUCAUCUAAACUGAGUCCAGCUGGCCAAUUCUAAAUAUAAAAGGU